AUGAGUAUCUAUGUAU
This 16-nucleotide small RNA is filed under the name Arabidopsis thaliana (thale cress). RNAcentral describes it as "ATSL117090". Lineage: Eukaryota; Viridiplantae; Streptophyta; Magnoliopsida; Brassicales; Brassicaceae. The record is from RNAcentral.